UAUGAAGGGGGCUAGCGUUGCUCGGAAUCACUGGGCGUAAAGGGUGCGUAGGCGGGUUUUUAAGUCAGAGGUGAAAUCCUGGAGCUCAACUCCAGAACUGCCUUUGAUACUGGAAAUCUUGAGUAUGGGAGAGGUGAGAGGAACUGCGAGUGUAGAGGUGAAAUUCGUAGAUAUUCGCAAGAACACCAGUGGCGAAGGCGGCUCACUGGCCCAUAACUGACGCUGAGGCACGAAAGCGUGGGGAGCAAAC
This 250-nucleotide ribosomal RNA is filed under the name uncultured prokaryote. RNAcentral's name for it is "partial 16S ribosomal RNA". It matches the Rfam family "Bacterial small subunit ribosomal RNA", at positions 524 to 773 of the family's 1533-position model. The record is from RNAcentral.